This 513-nucleotide ribosomal RNA is filed under the name Ruminococcus sp. CJ60. RNAcentral describes it as "bacterial SSU rRNA". It matches the Rfam family "Bacterial small subunit ribosomal RNA", at positions 8 to 521 of the family's 1533-position model. The record is from RNAcentral. Lineage: Bacteria; Bacillati; Bacillota; Clostridia; Eubacteriales; Oscillospiraceae.
AGAGUUUGAUCCUGGCUCAGGAUGAACGCUGGCGGCGUGCCUAACACAUGCAAGUCGAGCGAAGCACUUUGCUUAGAUUCUUCGGAUGAAGAGGAUUGUGACUGAGCGGCGGACGGGUGAGUAACGCGUGGGUAACCUGCCUCAUACAGGGGGAUAACAGUUAGAAAUGACUGCUAAUACCGCAUAAGACCACAGCACCGCAUGGUGCGGGGGUAAAAACUCCGGUGGUAUGAGAUGGACCCGCGUCUGAUUAGCUAGUUGGUAAGGUAACGGCUUACCAAGGCGACGAUCAGUAGCCGACCUGAGAGGGUGACCGGCCACAUUGGGACUGAGACACGGCCCAAACUCCUACGGGAGGCAGCAGUGGGGAAUAUUGCACAAUGGGGGAAACCCUGAUGCAGCGACGCCGCGUGAGCGAAGAAGUAUUUCGGUAUGUAAAGCUCUAUCAGCAGGGAAGAAAAUGACGGUACCUGACUAAGAAGCACCGGCUAAAUACGUGCCAGCAGCCGCGGU